This is a non-coding RNA of Blastosporella zonata, 82 nucleotides long. NCBI's taxonomy places the organism in Eukaryota, Fungi, Basidiomycota, Agaricomycetes, Agaricales, Lyophyllaceae. The record is from the annotation of a GenBank genome assembly.
GGGGGUUUGGCACAGUGGUAGCGCGCAUGCUUUGCAUUUAUUACAUUGCAUGAGGUCGUGGGUUCAAGCCCCACAGUCUCCA